Molecule: ribosomal RNA, 349 nt
Filed under: uncultured bacterium
Lineage: Bacteria
Description: bacterial LSU rRNA
Rfam family: Bacterial large subunit ribosomal RNA
Source: RNAcentral
UGAAUGGGGCAACCCACCUGAUUAUAUUCUGUUAUUAUCUAGCUUCGGUUAGAUAGUUAUCAGGGUGUAAAACCAGGUACUUAUAGACUGAAUACAUAGGUUUAUAAGAGCAAACCCGGGGAACUGAAACAUCUAAGUACCCGGAGGAAAGGACAUCAAUUGAUACUCCCCUAGUAGCGGCGAGCGAACGGGGACCAGCCGAGCCUCAAUUGUGAAUAGAAUGGUCUGGAAUGGCCAACCAUAGUGGGUGACAGUCCCGUAUAUGAAGCAUGAGAGGACGUAUUAAGUAGGGCGGAACACGUGAAAUUCUGUCUGAAGAUCGGAGGACCACGAACGAAGGCUAAGUCUC